UACGGAGGGUGCAAGCGUUAUCCGGAUUCACUGGGUUUAAAGGGAGCGCAGGCGGAUUGGUAAGUCAGUGGUGAAAGGCUUGAGCUUAACUCGGGAACUGCCAUUGAUACUAUCAGUCUUGAAUAUUGUUGAGGUUUGCGGAAUGGGUCAUGUAGCGGUGAAAUGCAUAGAUAUGACCCGGAACACCUAUUGCGAAGGCAGCAGGCUAAACAAAGAUUGACGCUGAGGCUCGAAAGCGCGGGGAUCAAACAGG
This 253-nucleotide ribosomal RNA is filed under the name uncultured bacterium. RNAcentral describes it as "partial 16S ribosomal RNA". It matches the Rfam family "Bacterial small subunit ribosomal RNA", at positions 524 to 776 of the family's 1533-position model. The record is from RNAcentral.